Molecule: ribosomal RNA, 261 nt
Filed under: uncultured archaeon
Lineage: Archaea
Description: partial 16S ribosomal RNA
Rfam family: Archaeal small subunit ribosomal RNA
Source: RNAcentral
UAGCCGUAAACGAUACUCGCUAGGUGUCGGCCACGGUGCGACCGUUGUCGGUGCCGUAGGGAAGCCGUGAAGCGAGCCACCUGGGAAGUACGGCCGCAAGGCUGAAACUUAAAGGAAUCGGCGGGGGAGCACCACAACGGGUGGAGCUUGCGGUUUAAUUGGAUUCAACGCCGGAAAUCUUACCGGGACCGACAGCAACAUGAAGGCCAGGCUGAAGACUUUGCCGGAUUAGCUGAGAGGAGGUGCAUGGCGUAGUCGUGU